GACGAACGCUGGCGGCGUGCUUAACACAUGCAAGUCGAACGGAAAGGCCCUGCUUUUGUGGGGUGCUCGAGUGGCGAACGGGUGAGUAACACGUGAGUAACCUGCCCUUGACUUUGGUAUAACUUCAGGAAACUGGGGCUAAUACCGGAUAUGAGCUCCUGCUGCAUGGUGGGGGUUGGAAAGUUUCGGCGGUUGGGGAUGGACUCGCGGCUUAUCAGCUUGUUGGUGGGGUAGUGGCUUACCAAGGCUUUGACGGGUAGCCGGCCUGAGAGGGUGACCGGCCAGAUUGGGACUGAGAUACGGCCCAGACUCCUACGGGAGGCAGCAGUGGGGAAUAUUGCACAAUGGGCGGAAGCCUGAUGCAGCAACGCCGCGUGCGGGAUGAAGGCCUUCGGGUUGUAAACCGCUUUCGCCUGUGACGAAGCGUGAGUGACGGUAAUGGGUAAAGAAGCACCGGCUAACUACGUG
Molecule: ribosomal RNA, 468 nt
Filed under: uncultured bacterium
Lineage: Bacteria
Description: partial 16S ribosomal RNA
Rfam family: Bacterial small subunit ribosomal RNA
Source: RNAcentral